ACCUAGGAUUUGGGCUGACUUAGUAAUUAAAACUUUGUGUGCUUUUGAAAUUCUUGGCAUUUAUGCAUUUGAAAUUAGAUUUUAUAAAACAGUAAAAUAAAUUCUUUAGGUAGCGACAGCAGUUUGUGGGUAUCUGAGCCGGAAACCCUCACGAGAUAAAACUCGUCCACUAGGGCCACCUAGGGGUUUAAAGCCUUAUUGCAUACGGUAAAUGCAAUCGCGAUUCCUGCGAAAGUGAGUUAAUUUCUUUUUCUAUUUUUGCUUGAGGACUAGCAAAAUGUAGGUUGGGGGGUGUGAUAAGUGCUAAAUAAUGCAUAAAUUAAUAUCUUAUU
This 332-nucleotide long non-coding RNA is filed under the name Phoenix dactylifera (date palm). RNAcentral describes it as "long non-coding RNA (PDAC_LNC021535)". The record is from RNAcentral. Lineage: Eukaryota; Viridiplantae; Streptophyta; Magnoliopsida; Arecales; Arecaceae.